Cercocebus atys (sooty mangabey) is the source of this 1322-nucleotide long non-coding RNA. RefSeq lists it as uncharacterized. The transcript is spliced from 3 exons. The record is from RefSeq and is a predicted model, not a curated record. NCBI's taxonomy places the organism in Eukaryota, Metazoa, Chordata, Mammalia, Primates, Cercopithecidae.
GUUCAGCAGGGGACAAGGCCUGAACUCUGCAUUCCUGAGCAGCUCCGGGGGAAGCGCAGGUGAUGGCCACGUGACAGUUCCGCUGCGCUCAGAUCUCGGACUGCAGAGGCCAACCUAAGAGUUUCCGCUGCUUGGGACCCUGUGGCCACAUGGCCUGGUCUGGGUUUCACAGGUGUGGCCUCUUGGGGACCCUCUGACUGACCAUCUCAUUUCGCUCUGGCUGAAGCCCAAGAGGUUCCUGCGACCUGUCCAGGGUCACAGAGCUGGUUCCUGAAUAAUUGGGAAGAGAUGCACCCCUUCCACGGCCCAGAAAUGUUUUCCAAAGACUGUUCAAGAAAGGAAGGCCGAUGCCGGUAUGCCACUGAGAAGGUCAUCUAAGUCCAGCUCAAGGUCAUCAAAACCCACGGUUGCUGCAAUCAUAGAAGAGGACCCCAAGCAGUGGAUUAGUUCUGCCUUCUUCCGCCAAGGAAUACUGGCAGUGAAAUCCAGUUGAACCAGCUACAGUGGAGAGUCUUGCUUGCUGACAUUACUGGCCUCUGGGUGAGAGUGGUUUCAUCACCACGGACGACCUACAUUUCACCAACUUUGCCCCCUGCCAUCUCAGGCUAGGACACUGUCCUCCGAGGGCUCCCUGCCAAGUGUGCCUGGACUCAGGGACUCCCACACAGCAGGAAAUUGGCUCCUUUGUGUGACUGGCUCAGGUCGGACAGCUGCUUCCAUGGUAUCCGCCAGACAUAUGGGACCAUCCUCCACCUCAGAGCCCUCCACAGCCCCCAGGUUCCAGCUGUGGUGACCGGCAGGAGGCUGCUGCAGACCCUGGGCUGCCCAGGUGGCCCCAGAUCUCAAAGCUUCUCUGGACGGACUGCAUGGCGCUCCCUCUGGGCCACAGAGAGUGCCCCCUGCCUCCCAGGCCAAGCCAACCCUCCCUUUGUCUCCCAGGAAGCGAGUUCUUCAGCUCUUGCCGGAGAGCCUCUGGCAGACCAGCGACCCCUGCUCACCUCUCCAGCCACCUGGGCAGAAAGCCUUUCUUUGUUCUAUUUCAGCCCAAACCAACCAACCUGCCGAGGCCAAGCCUAUGACUCAGACACAUGGAGGUCGCACAGUUCAUCCGCUGUGCCCAAAUGUGGGUAGACUCGGGUUUGGGACCUGCUAAGAGCCUCCCUUUGGAGAGGGAGCUGGUGGUGUCAGGACUCCCUCCCGAGCACUGACUGGCUUUGUUAUCUGGGGCCAGUGACGGCGUCUCUCUGUUCCUUUUGUUUCCUGUCCGCCAAACGUAAAUAAUGGCAACCCAACCUCAUAGGGUAGUUGUAGACUGAAAUGUG